AAACUCAAAGUUGUAUGCUUAAGACUCUGCCCCAAAAAUUUGAAGAUAAUAGUCUUAUAGUUUCUUUUCUUUUUUAAGAAAAGAGGAAAAACAAAUAUUGAGUCCAUUCUUAUAAUAAAUCGAAGGUCUAGCGGCUAAAAAUGAAUAAGCCCUAAAUUUGGGAGGAUUUUCAAUUAUGGUCCUUUUUUAUCAACUGUGUGAUCCAACGUUCACUUUUGAGUCAAUUUUGGCUGCUCUAGGAUCCCCAUGUCUGAGUGCACCAUUCAAUCCAGUGUCUACAGGCGCUGCUGUUGAUGUGGCAUGGGCUGGUGCGAGUAAGCACUGUUUGCACAACCCAUAGUUCCAGACCUUGGGAUCCCUGUCUGGCCAAAAAUUGAAACAAGACAGAAAAGAGUCCAAAAUUGAAAAUCCAACUAAAGAUUUGGAUUUUUGGGGGCUAGUAACUCGAGGAAAAGGAAGUAGUAGAAGCAUGCGUGAAGAAUAACUCCUCUUUCUCUCACAGAGAUAUAAUGUCUCUAUUAGGUACAAAUCUCUCCCAGGGGGGAGGAUGAGAUCUUUUUUAGUUCGUGGUAGGAUAUUUAUUAUGGUGUGUGUGUUUGAUUGCUCAUUGGUAAUAGACUUGUUCUUAAAAUUUGGGUUGUA
Molecule: unclassified non-coding RNA, 642 nt
Filed under: Hevea brasiliensis (rubber tree)
Lineage: Eukaryota; Viridiplantae; Streptophyta; Magnoliopsida; Malpighiales; Euphorbiaceae
Source: RNAcentral